UCCCUGGAGGACUAGUGGUUAGGCCCCGGUGCUCUCGCCGCCGCAGCCUGGGAUCGAUUCCUGGCCAGGGAA
Molecule: transfer RNA, 72 nt
Filed under: Pangasianodon hypophthalmus (striped catfish)
Lineage: Eukaryota; Metazoa; Chordata; Actinopteri; Siluriformes; Pangasiidae
Description: tRNA-Glu
Source: RNAcentral